UUCCUGUAUUAUCGACCUUGGCGUUUUAUUCUCUCUGUUUGUAUGUGUGUUUACAAUAUAUAAUAUUAGUUCAUUUUUUCAUGAAAAAAAAACAUUAAAUUGAACAACAUAAUUGUUGAUGAAGGAUUAAUCAUCUUAUUUGUACCUGUGCGGGAAAUAGAAAUACAUAUUUGCAUUGUGAUACGGGACAUUGGCAUAAGGGAAAUCAUUAGCCCCGAAGAUUCUGACAGCUCGAAAGAGGUUAUGUUUGAUGAAAGAUUUUUAAAAGGAACAUUCCUGCAAUAAUCUUCGAUCAAAAGCAUUGACAAUAACUGCAAACCUUGUGAGAAGGCUGUGUGUAACUGAGUGAGGUAAUAAUUAGAGAUGCGCAUUCUUUUUGGAUCAAUGCCAGGAAAUCUUCAAGCAUUACACCCUCCAAUAGACUGAAUACUUUGGUCUCCGUAUAAUUCCCAUCAACAGCACAAGAAGAGAUACAAUUGAUGAUUUAUUAAAAUGAAAGGGAUUAUGAAGAGGUUUGAGAGUAGAAUACUGGUGAUAAGAAGGUUCGAGUCCUGUGCAAAAGGAGUAACGAUUAUACACUGAACCUCAAGGAGACUCAAUUGACAAGGGCAGCUCUCUAUCAGAUUGCUAUAUAUCAGUCUCAAUGGGUCUACAACUGUCUCAAGGGACCCGAGGGGUUAAUGAUUCACCGGCAUAGCGAUGAGCAUGCCCUACUUGAGGUUCAUCUUGCUCCAGAGAUAAAUGUCCUUGUUUUGUUGGGGACUUUGAUUGAUGAAACCGUGGAUUCCCGAAUCGAGCGGAACCUGAUGGGGAACUCUGCAGGAUUUAAAAAGCGAAGAACAGCUGAAGGGACAGUAGGAGAAUGGGCCCUACAGUUCUACUACAAAUGGUUAUUGUACUUUCAAAAUGAAUUAUUCGUAUCAGUUUCGAUGAAUUUUCAGUUUUGCUAUCAAUAUAAAAGAAAAGCAGCGAAAACUAUCGACAUUCUGUCCUGACAAUCCAUCAUUGAGGCGCUUUGGAUUCAAGCGCUUGCAGGAUACGCUAAAGUAUUAUCCAAAACUCUGGAAUGUGAAAUGUCCUUGUGGAGCAGUCAGGCGUGAGGAAAAUGUUUCUAAUUGUCAUGUAUAUCUGGAGCUAGAUUGCAGAGAGAGAGCAACCGAUCCUGAUCGUACUUGCAAGCUCUACGAUCUGCCUACAUCUUUCAACUUGAGCAGAGAAUACAGAUUAGCUGGAGUCAUCUCAUACGAUGCGACCUAUGAUCAUUUCGUGGCCUACUGUUGCCGUCGUACUGGAACGUGGGAGUACAAUGAUUGAUGGACUACUCAGUAAAGUAAAACCUGUGAAAGGAAAUCCGGUGAUACAACCUGAAUGUGCCUUGUAUCUGAUUAAUCAGUGAGCAGGAACGUUCACUACGCUCAACAUUUCAGUUUUCUGUGUCGCCAAAGCUAGUUCUUUAUCUUAAGUAUAUUAGUUAUAAUAUGAUUCUUAUCGAAUGUUAUUUGUUUAAAUAAAGAUUUUAUUGAAAAAAUGCAGGAAGACGAGAUAGUGAACCAAGAGUAAAUGGUUUUUAGUUUGACUGUUUUAAUACAAACUCUCAUGUUUGAACAUUAUUUCGUGAUGAAAGUAAACUGUAAAUAGAACAAUAUAAAAGACUGUUGUUGUACCUGCAACGCAAAGCCUCUCCCCCCAGACGAUACAGCUUAUAUGCAUAAUUUACAUCUUUUCUCUUUAGUUCUUUCAUGAAUUCAUUAUCAAAUACGUAGUGCUGUAAUUAUUGGAAGUUUCUUGAGAAGGAAAAGUUUGAUUUAGGAGAAUUACGUGCAAGAAAAUUAUUAGGAGUGAAAUAACACAUUCUGUUGAUUCAAAUGUUUCAUAAAAUUUCUUUAUUCAAAACAGCGAUGAGAUACGGAAAGUGGAUGGAAAAUCACUUACGUAUUUUUUUUCUUGAAAGAUGAUACGAUUUCGGAAUUAUAUCAAAUUAUGAUGUCACAAUGCUACGUAUUUCUGUUUUUGCAAAACGCUAUCAUAUGUUGUCAUUCUCAAUCGCUCAUCACUUCAUAGUUCUCAAUUAGUCUUCGAAAUAAGAGACACGUGUCCUCUCAUGAAGUAGGCACAGUUCCAAACAAAAAAAUGUCUUCUCGUGACCCUAAUUGAAUCAAAAUUUCUUUGCCCAUUUUUGACGUGGAAAAAUAAAAAAAAAAUCGAAAAACGUACAAAUGAUGGAAUACGAAAAAACACGAAAACAUCAUACAAGCUUCCACCUUUUUAUACUAUUUGAUGAUGAAAGUGAACUGGAAUUAAAACAAUAUAAAAAAACUGGUUCCAUACCUACAGCACUAAUUCUUUUGCUCCAGGGGAUGUAGUUUGCAUGCACGAUUUACGUUUCUCUUCCUUCAAUCUAAAUUUUCUUCGUCAAUGCAACUGAACAUCUAGGACCACAUGUAUGAGAAGUUGUGAUGCCUGCUUUACGUGAAACAAAUUAUCAACAGAUGGUGAUAUGAUACAUCCCACUAAUUGUGUCCUAGCAUGGAAUUCC
Molecule: long non-coding RNA, 2536 nt
Organism: Diachasma alloeum
Lineage: Eukaryota; Metazoa; Arthropoda; Insecta; Hymenoptera; Braconidae
Exons: 3
Source: RefSeq, a predicted model, not a curated record